UUUCACCUUCAAAGAGAGCUGUACAUUUCUAGAUAUGUUAUUAAAGGAAGCACUGUGGGUUCCGUGGCUGGAACAGGGAACCGAUCAUUUAUCUGCUUUACCAUCAGGUUGUCAGUCUAGUCAUGCUGCUGGUAAAGAUUAGAUCUCUCACUCUGCCAAAAUGAAACAUAUUUUGCCUGCUUGCAUACGAUUCUGUUGCUUUGUCCACUGCAGCAUCCUCCGUGCAGCUCCCAUUAUUGUAGACAUUUUCUGUUUUUGCUCUAGGAUGUGGGGAGAAGGUGCCCCAUCAGAGAGCAUGACUUUUUCUAAUCCCAACCCACACACUGAUGUCAAAGUAUUUUCGUUCUUUCUCCCGAGCAUUGUGUUCUUCUACCAGCAGUCACUAAGCCAGGAAAACAGGAGGGUAUUUUGCAAUAACAUUUGGAAUAUACAUUUUUAUUUUUUUAGUUGGGAUUUCUGGUGUUUAUAUUUUGAAGGUCAGGUGUGAUGUCACUUUCUUAGUCCUUAAGCUGUCUACGUAUUGCUGAGUGAGUAACUCUGCCAAGUCAGUGCCUGCAGUGCUGUCCUUAAAAUCAGCACGAGGAUGACAAGAAGUUACUUGGGCUUUUACGUAUAUAAAUGUGCCUGGCCAGAUGCUGAAAAUUUGAUAAUAAUGAAUGAAAAUAGUAAAUAGAAUUUUUCAGUGAAUUUUAGUGAUUUAUUUGUAAACAUUCCCCUCUCCAGGUUUUUUUCCUUUCCUCCCCCUCCCUCUCCCUCUCCCUCCUUAGACCUUUCUUAUUUUCCCAUUUUAAGAUCUUCAUGACUCAAAAGGCUAUUUGAUUGGUGGGAAAUGAAGGUGGAAAGUUAUUGAUCAGGAGAUUUCUAAUGCUGUUUCCUACUCACAGUUAAACAAAUGCAAAUGUCAAGCCUUCAUUCAUCAUUUAAUGACUAUUUGUCUCUAGAGAGAGUACUAUUAUGGGCUAGAGGUUGAGAUUUUAAAAGGGGGGAGGAUACAAAAAUGACUGUUUCUUUUGGCAAACACAAUAAAUUGCUUUCUUUCUGCCAAGCAAUUAUCACUGUAUUUAAUCUUUGUAGGAAG
This 1078-nucleotide long non-coding RNA is filed under the name Equus caballus (horse). RNAcentral describes it as "lncRNA (ENSECAG00000046509.1)". Lineage: Eukaryota; Metazoa; Chordata; Mammalia; Perissodactyla; Equidae. The record is from RNAcentral.